GUCCCGGCCGCUGUCGCGACUCAGCGCCGCGGGCGCGGGAGGCCCAGCGCCAUCCCCGCGCUCCGUGCCGGCGCUGGGAGCCACGGCCAGGACUGCAGGCGGAGGGCCGGGCCUGGCGCAUGCUGCAGGAGCUGCGAGAGGAGAGGAAGGGCGUGUGGUGGGUCAGCGCAGCACCCAAAACGCGAGAAACCCUGAGAAGCCAAGGGGUUGAAGCAGAAUUGAUCCUGGGGAUUUUUGAAUGAACCUGAAGUUAAUCUUACUGAUGUGGUCUUUGAAGUCCUGGAAUGUCCUAACUUUGGUUAAAAAGGUGCAAUAUUUCUUUGAUAACCUAAACACUCAAAUAAAGUAAGUCCUUCAUGUGCAGGUCUAGGCCUGUACACAAAAAUGUAGAUUUUUUUUUUGCAGACCCUCUGAUUCUGCCACAAACUAUCAGAGCAAAACUGAUUUUCAAGUGCUUUGAAAAUGAAGACUUUUAAAUGUAAAAUUUAAGAGCAUUACUUUUAUGCUUUGUUUCUUGCCCCAGAGAGCGUGCUCAGAACUGGCAGCAGCUGCAGCAGAUCUGGAGGUCGGCAGAGGGAGUCACAUCCCCUCCCAUCCCAACACAUGCUCCUCCCGGCAAGCGUCACACAUCGAGCCUUUACAACUUGGGGGGUUUGGGCUUCAAAAGCUUAAUCCCCCACCUGAGGGAUUUCAUAAAAGCUCACACACACAAAGUGGCGUAUGAAAUACUGACACAGCCAGAGGCACUCUCUAAACCUACAGCCCUGUAAUGUAAAAAAUGGGGAUGUGGAGGAGGAAGGAGUUGCUCCCUCACCUUCUCCUGCACCUUGCUCUUGGCUCGAACCUCCUCGUGGAUGGAGUCGUAGACGUUGAGGAGAUCCUGCUCGCUGCUGUCCUCGCGGGAUUCCUGCAGGGCAGCCACCAGCUGCAGCCUCCUGCAUAUUUCCUCUGGCUUUUCCUUUUUUGUUUGUGCUUUUCCUUCAGGUCCUCAUUCUGAACCUGCUCCCCCCCGACCACCUGCUGCUCCAGCACCUGCAGCCUGCAGAAGGGAACACUGAGCUCAAGAACCAACUUCACAAGCAUGGAGGAUGCACAUCCUUCCACGGGUGACAUUUGGGAAGACACAGAAAAAUGAGAAUUAUUAUAAGAUUUUCUGCCCUGAAUAAUCAUAGCAAAUCCUACUUAUUAUUAACAGUUUCUGUCAUAAAAAGAAUCCCAGAAUGGUUUGGAUUGCGAAGCAUCCCACUCCUGCCACGGGCAGGGCCAACUCCUGCUCUCCCAGGCUGCUCCAGCUCUGUCUAAUGUGGCCUUGGACACUUCCAGGGAUCACGGGGCAGCCACAGCUCCUCUGGGCAAAAUACACGUGUAUUACUCCAAGCACCUCAGUCAACAAGGAUGUCCAGAAAUCCAUAUCUAAGCUCACAACAUUAUCUCUGCGAGUCUUGUUUUGUGUACUUUAUAUUUAAAAUCUUAUUUAAAUAAACAUGGAAUAUAUUAUGUUAAA
Molecule: non-coding RNA, 1504 nt
Organism: Lonchura striata (white-rumped munia)
Lineage: Eukaryota; Metazoa; Chordata; Aves; Passeriformes; Estrildidae
Source: RefSeq, a predicted model, not a curated record